Lathyrus oleraceus (garden pea) is the source of this 2210-nucleotide long non-coding RNA. RefSeq lists it as uncharacterized. The record is from RefSeq and is a predicted model, not a curated record. Lineage: Eukaryota; Viridiplantae; Streptophyta; Magnoliopsida; Fabales; Fabaceae. The transcript is spliced from 4 exons.
UUCUUCUGUCUUUAAGAUACUAUGCUAUAGAUCUACAAAUACAUCUAUCAUAUAAGAAACUCUUAUGCUCUGGAAAUUUCAUUUUUGUCCCUUUUGUGGCACUCAACCAUCCAUCCUUCUUUCAAUUCUUCUUUUUCUUGACACAAUCAUCACAUCUUCUUACAUGAGAUGGCUUUUCAAAAUUUUCUUUUGUACAACAGACCUACCUCUACUACCUAGAGAAAACUAUGAUUUCCUAUGCCCCACAUUUCCAUUACCCUAAACUUCAUAUCUAUUUUCUCUUAGACCGAGAUCAUCUUCAUCUUUGAUUUCCUUUUUCUUCAACAACUUCUUUCUUCUUUAUGAUUUCUACAACCAAAAACGUCCAACCAUAUCUACCCAUACCAUCAGCUUCCAUAUCUUUUCACAUCCAUGUUUCUUCCUUCACGCUAAGGGUGUUCUAUGAAAGCCUUCGGAGAUGGAUGAUUCAUUUUUAUAAUUGCAAGGAUCUCAAAAAAAUGUUUAGAUUCACUGUCAAUAGUUAGGGUUUCGACUGAUUUUGUUAUUGUUGUAGUCGAACUUCUGAAAUUCAUGUUGAAAGUGGAAUCAAGGUGUUACUUCAAAUGGUAUAUGCAAAAGUCAAAGAAUGUUUGGAGAUACUUUAUGUGGAGGAUUUUUCCUUUCUACUUGCCAAACAUUUCACUUCAUUUUAUAAGCAGGUUGGUGAGUUAAAAUUCAUAAUUUAAUAUCUAUUUCAAGAAUUUUUUUUACUUUUGUUAUUUUUUUAUUAUUAUUUUGCUCUGUGUCUUUUAUUUUACAUUACUUAGAAGAACAAAAGGUAGAUGGUCAACCUCAUCAACAUGGUUAGUGAAACUAUUAUACGCUUGAAUAUUGCUUGUUUUAGAAUGUGUAUAUAGCUAUUUCAUUAUGUGUAGAGGUUCUUUGUUAGCUAUUGUAAUUAAACUUUAUUACACUUAAGGCUGAAGUUUAUAUUGUUAUAGAAUUUAAAAUAAUUUGAUGAUGUAUAAUAUUGACACUAUUGAUUUGAAGUAACCAUAUAUAUGAACUUUUCAAUUAUAUAAAUAUACCAAUGUUUUGUUUACUUUCCAUCCUCAAGUCCUUUGAUUUUUUUUUAAGGUUUCAAACUUGGAUAUGAGACACAUAUGACAGAGGUAAUAGUAAAAAAGUCUGGUGCACUGCAAUUGACUUUUGGUAUUGAAGGAUUGUUAGUGUUGAAAACAACCAAGGUAAGAUUGCAAUAUAUAGUACGAAUUUGUGCUUUAAUUGUCAUGUAGUUUUUUCAAAUGUCUUUUUGCACACUCUUUUUCUAGUCUUUAAAAUUUAUUCCUUGGGUGUAAAUGAAAGAUACACAUUCAUAGUUGUAUAUUCAGCAAUAACUGUGUUAGUUUAUAAGGUAUCUUGUGUUCUUAUCAUUCUAAAUCUAAUAAUAGUGAUUUUUAUGAACCAUGGAUACAUGUACUGAAUUGAAUUGAGAUGAGAUUGUUAGACUUUUAUGUGUAGUACGUAAAUGUAAAUAAGUGUGUCAAAUAUCAGCUAUUGUUAUUGUUCUGUGAUGCGCCAUUUAUUAUCUAUUUAUCAUGUUUUUUUGUGGACAUGCUCAAAGUCUCAAUGUCAUUACUUUUGUGGACCUUACCCAAUAUUUCAUGCUAUAUUUUCGGGGAAUAUAAUUCAACCAUCAUACCUGAUCGGCCUGGCAUGUUGGGGUUCUUAUUUGAUACUAAGGAGUUUUUUUUUUAAAUGCGUUAUAAGGAAACAAAAUCUAUCCACUUAUUAUGGUUACAUACACCCCCUUUGGGUGCAUUGCGACUUCUUUGACAAAGUAUUUGAUUUUUGGGGAGCUGGAAGAGAUAUAUUUUCAAAACUGAAGCUGAGGAUAUGGGUGGUUUGGAUCCAUCUGGAAUAAUUAUUUUAUAAAAAGAACGGUCUUGGCUUGAACAAGGGAGAAAAAUCGGAGAAGACCAAGUUGUUCCCCUCCCAAGGAAUUUCAAUGGAAUUGAUAUUGAAUCAGGCGGCAGUUAUAGGAUAUGUAGUAGACAUAUACUUUUAAAAAGUGGCAGCAAUUACAUCCCAAUUCAAUCUAUAUUUUAUUAUUAACAACAAAAAUUAUAAGUUUAUAAUAUUUAUAAUGUAUUUUAUUUUUCUAUUUUAAAAUUAUAAUUAAUGAUAUUAAAAUUUAAAUUUAUGAUAAAUAAAAAAAUUAUGUUGUACCA